Acanthosepion pharaonis is the source of this 95-nucleotide non-coding RNA. The record is from the annotation of a GenBank genome assembly. Lineage: Eukaryota; Metazoa; Mollusca; Cephalopoda; Sepiida; Sepiidae.
CGUUUAAACACCGGUUACCGUACGAUAAAGGAAGUUAAGCAACGUCGAGCCUGGUCAGUAGCUAGAUGGGUGACCGCUUGAGAAUAUCAAGUACU